Non-coding RNA from Streptomyces decoyicus, 81 nucleotides. The record is from Rfam. Lineage: Bacteria; Bacillati; Actinomycetota; Actinomycetes; Kitasatosporales; Streptomycetaceae.
UCGUCGAAGGUGGGACUGGCGAUUGGGACGAAGUCGUAACAAGGUAGCCGUACCGGAAGGUGCGGCUGGAUCACCUCCUUU